This 501-nucleotide ribosomal RNA is filed under the name uncultured bacterium. Its description in RNAcentral is "bacterial SSU rRNA". It matches the Rfam family "Bacterial small subunit ribosomal RNA", at positions 903 to 1397 of the family's 1533-position model. The record is from RNAcentral.
AAAGGAAUUGACGGGGGCUCACACAAGCGGUGGAGCAUGUUGCUUAAUUCGAAGCGACGCGAAGAACCUUAUCCUGGACUUGACAUACAUGGAUUAGUCUAGUGAAAGCUAGAUGACACCUUCGGGUGGAACAUGAACAGGUGCUGCAUGGCUGUCGUCAGCUCGUGCUGUGAAGUGUCGGGUUAAGUCCCUCAACGAGCGCAACCCCUGUCGUUAGUUGCCAGCGAGUCAUGUCGGGGACUCUAACGAGACUGCCGGUGUCAAACCGGAGGAAGGUGGGGAUGACGUCAAGUCCUCAUGGCCUUUAUGUCCAGGGCUGCAAACGUGCUACAAUGGCGUAUACAAAGCGAUGCGAGGCCGCGAGGCGGAGCAAAUCGCAAAAAGUACGCCCCAGUUCAGAUUGCAGUCUGCAACUCGACUGCAUGAAGUCGGAAUCGCUAGUAAUCGCGGAUCAGCUACGCCGCGGUGAAUACGUUCCUGAGCCUUGUACACACCGCCCGU